GGUAUGUACUGGCUCGCUGAUUCCUCCUUCUUGUAGAACCGUAAUGCCAUUAAUUUAGUGUUGCGGGGAAACAGGACUGCUACUUUGAAAAAAUUAGAGUGUUUAAAGCAGGCUAGCGCCUGAAUACAUUAGCAUGGAAUAAUGAAAUAGGACGUUCGAACCUAUUUUGUUGGUUUCUAGGAUUGACGUAAUGAUUAAUAGGGAUAGUUGGGGGCAUUAGUAUUCAACUGUCAGAGGUGAAAUUCUUGGAUUUAUUGAAGACUGACUACUGCGAAAGCAUUUGCCAAGGAUGUUUUCAUUAAUCAAGAACGAAAGUUAGGGGAUCGAAGACGAUCAGAUACCGUCGUAGUCUUAACCAUAAACUAUGCCGACUAGGGAUCGGAUGAUGUUA
RNAcentral lists this ribosomal RNA (391 nucleotides) under uncultured Glomeromycotina. Its description in RNAcentral is "SSU rRNA". It matches the Rfam family "Eukaryotic small subunit ribosomal RNA", at positions 670 to 1065 of the family's 1831-position model. Lineage: Eukaryota; Fungi; Glomeromycota. The record is from RNAcentral.